GUCAUAUGCUUGUCUCAAAGAUUAAGCCAUGCAUGUCUCAGUACAAGCCAAAUUAAGGUGAAACCGCGAAAGGCUCAUUAAAUCAGUUAUGGUUCCUUAGAUCGUACCCACAAUUACUUGGAUAACUGUGGUAAUUCUAGAGCUAAUACAUGCAAACAGAGCUCCGACCGGAGACGGAAGGAGUGCUUUUAUUAGAUCAAAACCAAUCGGUGGCGGGUUCGCUCGUCAUCGUACAACUUGGUGACUCUGAAUAACUUUACGCUGAUCGCACGGUCAUCGCACCGGCGACGCAUCUUUCAAAUGUCUGACUUAUCAACUGUCGAUGGUAGGUUCUGCGCCUACCAUGGUUGUAACGGGUAACGGGGAAUCAGGGUUCGAUUCCGGAGAGGGAGCCUGAGAAACGGCUACCACAUCCAAGGAAGGCAGCAGGCGCGCAAAUUACCCACUCCCGGCACGGGGAGGUAGUGACGAAAAAUAACGAUACGGGACUCAUCCGAGGCCCCGUAAUCGGAAUGAGUACACUCUAAACCCUUUAACGAGGAUCAAUUGGAGGGCAAGUCUGGUGCCAGCAGCCGCGG
This 578-nucleotide ribosomal RNA is filed under the name Trigonopterus sp. 246 AR-2022a. RNAcentral's name for it is "SSU rRNA". It matches the Rfam family "Eukaryotic small subunit ribosomal RNA", at positions 23 to 579 of the family's 1831-position model. Lineage: Eukaryota; Metazoa; Arthropoda; Insecta; Coleoptera; Curculionidae. RNAcentral also lists the same sequence under 1 other name. The record is from RNAcentral.